GGGCAAUUAGCUCAAUGGUAGAGCGUUUGCUCGACACGCAAGAGGUUACAGGUUCAAUCCCUGUAUUGCCCA
This 72-nucleotide transfer RNA is filed under the name Candidatus Moranbacteria bacterium CG_4_9_14_3_um_filter_44_28. RNAcentral describes it as "tRNA-Val". It matches the Rfam family "tRNA". Rfam says of the family: Transfer RNA (tRNA) molecules are approximately 80 nucleotides in length. Their secondary structure includes four short double-helical elements and three loops (D, anti-codon, and T loops). Lineage: Bacteria; Candidatus Moraniibacteriota. The record is from RNAcentral. RNAcentral also lists the same sequence under 2 other names.